GGUCGGUUAGCUUAGUCGGUAGAGCAUACGCCUAAUACCAGCAGGUGUCAGUCAGCGUAAGGUCGAGGGUUCGAUCCCCUCACGGAUCA
Non-coding RNA from Naganishia onofrii, 89 nucleotides. The record is from the annotation of a GenBank genome assembly. Lineage: Eukaryota; Fungi; Basidiomycota; Tremellomycetes; Filobasidiales; Filobasidiaceae.